GCGUAAAGCGCGCGUAGGCGGUUUUUUAAGUCUGAUGUGAAAGCCCACGGCUCAACCGUGGAGGGUCAUUGGAAACUGAAAAACUUGAGUGCAGAAGAGGAAAGUGGAAUUCCAUGUGUAGCGGUGAAAUGCGCAGAGAUAUGGAGGAACACCAGUGGCGAAGGCGGCUCACUGGCCCGUAACUGACGCUGAGGUGCGAAAGC
Molecule: ribosomal RNA, 203 nt
Filed under: Astrosyne radiata
Lineage: Eukaryota; Bacillariophyta; Fragilariophyceae; Cyclophorales; Cyclophoraceae
Description: partial Bacterial small subunit ribosomal RNA
Rfam family: Bacterial small subunit ribosomal RNA
Source: RNAcentral